Molecule: long non-coding RNA, 8689 nt
Organism: Anolis carolinensis (green anole)
Lineage: Eukaryota; Metazoa; Chordata; Lepidosauria; Squamata; Anolidae
Exons: 4
Source: RefSeq, a predicted model, not a curated record
UCCUCCCCGACGCGCCGCAAAUAGAUCUGCGCCUUUCUCAAGGCUGUGAAGGGUCUUAUAGAGCCGACGCCGUUCUCAUUAGUCAACGGCGGGCCUCUCCCGUUCGGGAUUGGCUGGGAGAUGAUGAGCUCAGGCCACCGAACGGGCGGGGGCGUUUCCUCUGGCCAGGAAUCCCUCCUGAACGGCAAAGCCAGCGGUGAGAGCGACCCCAUUCAAAGCGUCAUUCCAGUCUGCACCCAGGGCACGUCUUGGAGCCGCGGUUCUCAGCCUUCCGCCACUCCUUAAUCCACUUCCUCAUGUUGGGGUGACCCCCACCAACCAUGACAUUAUUUCCAUUGCUACUUCACAACUAUAAUUUUGCUACUGCAGGAGUCUGCUGUGGAUAAGUCUACAUAGCUAAGGUUGGCAGAAGCUGGGGCUAACAGCGGGCGCUCCUCGGAUUCGAAUCUGCAACCUUUUGAUCAGCAAGUUCAGCAGCUCAGCACUCCAACACACUGCACCAGCGGGUGCUCCAAUUCUACAUAGGUAAAGGUAAAGGUUUUCCCCUGACAUUAAGUCCAGUCCUGUCCGACUCUGGGGGUUGGUGCUCAUCUCCAUUUCUAAGCCGAAGAGCCGGCGUUGUCCGUAGACACCUCCAAGGCCAUGUGGCCGGCAUGACUGCAUGGAGCAUUACCUUCCUGCCAGAGCGGUACCUAUUGAUCUACUCACAUUUGCAUGUUUUUGAACUGCUAGGUUGGCAGAAGCUGGGGCUAACAGCGGGUGCUCACUCCCCUCUUCAGAUUCGAACCUAUGACCUUUUGGUCAGCAAGUUCAGCAGCUCAGCGCUUUAACACGCUGUGCCACCGGGUGCUCCAAUUCUAUAUAGAGACCACCAAACACAGCAUUGCCCAAACACAAAUCAAGGAAGGUACUGUGUCUGCGGACUAACUCAACCAAAGAAGUCAGUCAUAGCAGAGCACUGGACACAAAAUAUGAUUUGAGAACACAGAAAUGCUGGACUCUCACAACCACCAUGUCAGACAGAAGAGCCAUUGAAAUCCACAAGCAUGUGGACAUUUUCAACAGAAAGGAGGAAACCAUGAAAAUGAACAAAAUCUAGCUACCAGUAUUUUAAAAACCCUCUAAAAUCAGGACAGUAAAUAAAGAACAACACUCUGAAAACAGAGGAAUUACAUACCUGAAUCAAUCAGGGGCAGCUAACACCUUCAAACAAAGGAUUUCCCCCAGGCAGGAAUGACGCUGGUAAGGCCAUGAAUGCUAAUCAAGGCGAUUAAUUACAACAUUCACACUGGCCUCCAAGUGACAAGAGUCCUUUCUCCCACUAUGGACCUUCCACAGAUAUACAAACCUCCCUUGCUUAGUUUUCCAAUAUACAGUAGAGUCUCACUUAUCCAACAUAAACAGAUCGGCAGAACGCUGGAUAAACGAAAAUGUUGGAUAAUAAGGAGGGAUUAAGGAAAAGCCUAUUAAACAUUGAAUUACAUUAUGAUUUUACAAAUUAAGCACCAAAACAUCAUGUUUUACAACAAAUCGACAGAAAAUGCAGUUCAAUACAUGGUAACGUUAUGUAGUAAUUACGGUAUUUACGAAUUUAGCACCAAAACAUCACAAUGUAUUGAAAACAUUGACUCCAAAAACACUGACUACUAAAAGGCAGAGUGCAUUGGAUAAUCCAGAAUGUUGGAUAAGUGAAGGUUGGAUAAGCGAGACUCUACUGUACCUCACAACCUCUGAGGAUGCCUGCCAUAGAUGUGGGUGAAACAUCAGGAAUAAUGCUUCUGGAACAUGGCCAUACAGCCCAGAAAACUCAAAGCAACCCAAUUUUGCUACUGUUAUGAAUCUUAAUGUAAAUAUCUGAUAUGCAGGAUAUAUUUUCAUUCACUGGACCAAAUUUAGCACAGAUACCCGAUACGCCCAAAUUUGAAUACUUGUGGGGGGAAGAUUUUGUCAUCUGGGAGUUGUAGUUGCUGAGAUUUAUCAUUCACCUACAAUCAAAAAGCAUUCUGAACUCCCCCAGUGAUGAAUCUGAACUAAACUUGGCACACAGAACUCUCAUGACCAGCAGGAAAUACUGGAAGAGUUUGGUGGGCAUUGGCCUUGAGUUUUGGAGUUGUAGUUCACCUACAUCCAGAAAGCACUGUGGAGUCAAACAAUGAUGGAUCUGGACAAAAUUUGGCACAAAUACUCAAAGAGCCCCUUGAAUCCCACCAACGAUAGAAUUGGGCCAAACUUUCCACACAGACUGCCAUGACCAACAGAAAAUACUGGUCUUUGGCAACCCCUCUGACACCCCCUCACGACCCCACAGGGGUCCCGACCCCCAGAUUGAGAAACGCUGCUGUAGAGAUCUCUUGAAACAUACAGUAUGGCCUUAUUUAGGCAGAAAUCCAGAUCGAAAGAAGAAAAGGGCAAAAGGGUCAGUCUGAGCUCUCUCUCUGCUGGUGCAUCUGAAGUGUGUAGAAUGGGAUCGUGGAAGUUGUAAUUUGGUGAGGCACCAACAAAUUUUAUGGCAGAAAAGGCUAAAGACCUUGAGCAGCGACAACUCCCAGGAUUCCAUAGCACUGAGCCAUGGCAGUGAAAGCCAUAUCAAACUGUAUUAAUUCUACAAUGUACAUGGACUCUGAGAUUAAGGCAUUAAAACGCACUGGCUUCUUUCUUUCUUUCUUUCCUGUUUUUUCAGCUGCAGCCACUUCCAGCCUCACAAAGAGAAUCCAAAUUGCUAAUACUUGACAAGAGGUAAAUGUCCAGAAGAGAACUGGAGGAGAUAUGGUAUGUCUGCAGAACAGAUGCCUUUACAGCAAAAUGCAUAUGUGCCAAGCGAAUGACUGUGUCAGAAAGUGGAGGACUUUCCUUCUUCGGAGAUUCUCCAUCCAUAGAUUCAAUGAUCCUUUGAUGGCAGCCAUAAGACUGAUGUGGCCCUCGAUGAAAAUGAGGUUGACACCACUGAUUUAGACAUCCACACUGUAGCCUAAAACCGUAGAGAUGAUUCAUGCUGAUGCUAUGAAAAGACGGUCAGGUUAGGUUUUUGACUUCAUGUCUUUCCCAUAUCUGAUGUUGAUGAAGAGGCAUCUGAUGUUGAUGAAGAGGGUGUUGUGUGGUUUCUGGGUUGUAUGUCUGUGUUCUAGCAGCAUUUUCUCCUGAUGUUUUGCCUGUGUCUGUGGCUGGCAUCUUCAGAGGACACACAUGCAGGUGAAACUUCAGGAGAAAAUGCUGCUUGAACACGGCCAUACAGCCCAUAAACCACACAACAUCCCAGUGAUUCCAGCCAUGAAAGCCUUCAACAAUCAUGGUUUCCCUUUUAUGGCAUAUAAAAACUGCAUGAGUUAGGAAGGAUGUUGUGGAAGAACCUCCUCAAUCCUCCUCACAACUCUUACUUUUCUCCUAUGGUUCCUGUGUCUUUUUCUCACCAGAGCUUUACUCAUGAGUUGAACAAUACAAAAUAUUUGUUAUAUGCUACUUCUCUUUAAUCUAAGCAACUUUUGGCCUUUCAAGUGGGGCUGGACUGCAACUCACAUUAUUUCGAAUAGCUGGCAAUGCUGCCUGGAGCUCGUGAGAGUUGUGCUUCAACAUCUGGAAAACAUAGUUUGCUGCCUCCACUACUGCUGAGCUCAGGGGCAUUGUGUUCUUUGCAUUAAACUGUUCUUAUUUAAUCUACUCUUCUGUUAAAUAGCUUAAUAAAUGGAGCGAGAUCUUUGUUUUUGGCUGGAAUCUUCAUCAUGUGUUUGCUCUCAAAGGGAUGGAUGGGGAGAGGUUUCCUUGGUUCACAGGCAAAGAUGUUGAGUGGGAUGGAGAGCUUAAAAGAACCAAAUUCCAGGCAAAAAAAAAGUUAUGGUCCUCAUCAGGAAGACCGUUCAUUAAAGAAACAUAUUCUUGGAUAGAAAUAGCCUGAUUUAUUUUUGUUAACUUAAGACUCCAUCUACACUGGCCAUUUAAUGCAGUGUCAAACCAGUAUUGAAGAAAGUGGUUUCUCUGUACAGAUUAUUACAUAGGAAAUCCUGGAAGCAAUUUGGAGUCCAAAUGGUGAUUACACAAACUAUUGUUUGUGUAGUCAGAAUUUGGAUUUAAUGCACAUCAAAACAUUGGAGUGCAUUAAGGACUUUCUUUAGUGCUCUUUUGUGGGAGUUUGUUGUCUGGCCACCAUAAUAUGGAACCAGUUUUGAACUGCAUUGUAGUCAGUAUAAGAUGGAGUAUUUGCCAUAUAUUCCUUUGUAAAUUAACAUACUGUCCACUUUCAUAAAUUACAUGAUCCCAAAAUCUAAAAUACAGGAAUGUUCAGUCGAUAUAUACAGGAGGGUUCGGUCUAUAUAAAAAGAAAGGUUUGCCGUUGCCUUUUUCUGGAAUAUAGAUUACAGCACCUUGUGUUCAUUGGCAGUUCAAAUGGGGGCUUCUUUAUAAUGGGUACUAACCAGCCCUGUAAGAUAUGCAUUCUGUUGGAAAUGACAGCCUUCAUCAAGCAUUCUCUAGCAAUCUGUUUGUCUAUGAUCUUGUUGCUUACUGUUUCCUGUAUGUGUGCAGCAUCCUUUACUGUAUGUUUUCUGAGAAGUUAUAAACGGGGCUGCAGACUACGUGCUCUUACUUCAUUUUUGUCUCUUGACUGCAUGAUAUGAAACAAGUUAUUUUAUGGAAGAGUGCCUUUUAGGCACUUAAAAGCACUUCUAAAGCUCUGCUGUUUUUUAUGCACUGGCAAAUCUCUUUUUCCUAACAGAUUGGAGAUUGCUGGUUAUUCAGUCUAACAACUGAAACCAUUGCCUAGCAUAAUUAUAUUUGGUUGUAUACUACAAGAGGAGAUUCUGCUCUAAAGGGUUUUUUUUGGCUCAUUUGUAAAAGGUUAUGUUAUCUAAUAUUUUCUGGUCCUCAAAUAAGAAACAUCCCUUACAAGAAAGGACACCUAGCAACUAUAAACAAAAUAGAAUGCAGCUUCAAGAGCUGAGCACAUACUUUGGAUGCAGAGUAUUCCAGAUCCAGUUCUUGGCAUCUCUAUAGAGUAAUGUAAAAUACUACUGUCUAAAGCUUUAUAAAGAAGCAUUGCAACUCAAUGUAAAAAUAUAGAUAUUGGUAGAACAAUAGCCUACCUAAGUGCAGACCUUUAAAAAAUUACCUUUUAAGAGCUACAGUGUCCAGAAUUUUCCAGUCAGCAAGGCCAAUGAUGCUGUGCACUGUGCCAUACUGUGUUUUGUAUUCCCAAAUAAAUGCACAUAACAUGGCAAUGAUUUUAUUUUCAUAUUUAUUUAUUUACUUAUAUAUUUAUAUACAUUGAAAGGGGUCAUAAUCCAUUAAAUUUCAAGUGAUUUCACAAUGUUCUAGAAUGGCUAAUAAAACUGUUCUGACCAUAUAAGCAAAGUGUGCAAUGAAAAAAAAGUGGCAUUUCUCCACCUGCUUGUGAUUGUUGUUAAUCAGUGGUACUUUAAUAACACUCUUUGAUUAUAGUGAUGCUGCAGCUAAAGUAUUUUGAAGGAUUUUUAGUUUCUCCCACAAGUAAUACAUUACCACAUGAAAACAUAUAUACAUAUUUAGGGGCAUGUGACCCAAUUAAAAGCUAAUGUUCUCUCUUCUUUAAUAGUUUCUGAGAAAUAUUUAAUACACAACAGUGUAAGCAUUAUUUAUAUAUACCAGUAUAUAAUCCACAGCAAUGUUAACUAGGUAAUUGUAUAAGCAUGGCAAGAACUGCAAAAAUUGAAUACAGUUGGCCCUCCAUAUCAAUGGAUUCAGCAAUCACAGAUUCAUCCACCAAUGGCUUGAAAAUAUCUCCCCCACAUAAUUUCCCCACAAAAAAACAUAAAUUUUGAUUUUGUCAUUUUAUAUAUGGUACACCAUUUUAUCAUGCCAUCAUGUGUAAAGGGAUUUGAAUAUCCGUGGAUUAUGGGAUCCGCAUGGGAUCCUGGAACAAUACUUCAACUGAUACCAAGGGGAAGCUGUAUUUGCAUUUUUGAUUAGCCAUUGAAAGUACCAAAUGUUAACUAUACUGCAUGUGCUUUGCCAGUCAUUCUAUUAAGGUAUAUCAGACAUUUUGUUGGCCCUUCGGGUCACUUCUACUAAGUAAAUAGAACCAAAGGAGAACUAAAAUAAGAUAAAGAGACUGCAAAUAACUGGAAUGAAUGCUUUAUAUUUAUAUUAUAAAAGACAUACAGUGUAUAUGUGUCUUUUUUUUUCAAAUCCCUUGUUGACUUAUGGUGAUCCUAUUAAUAUUAUAGGGCUUUCUUAGGCAAGGAAUACUCAGAGAUGGUUUGCCAUUGCCUUUCUCUGAAAUAUAGAUGAAAGCACCUUGUAUUCAUUGGCAGUGCAAAUACUAACCAGGGCUGACCUCUUUAACUUUCAAAGUCAGGUAGGAAUCUGGUGCGGUUUUGAGAAUUUAGGCCCAGGCCUAAAAUGACAUUUUUCAUGAGGAUUCCAAGGCAGUGGUAGAAAUAUUGGUCACAAGAUUCCAAACUAAAAUUCUAAUUUUCAUUUAAAAUUGAAAAAAAAAUGUCCAUCAGCCUGUGGACUUCUCAAUGAACCUCAGAUGAGAAGCUGCUAAUCUUUUGUAUGAAUGCCCUCAAACCAGAAUACUGCAAAUACUGAAUACUGACUUCUGUGUAUUAUUAUAUUCCUUCCUCUUCUGCACAUCUCCUCAGAAGAAACAGCAGGAUCAAACUUGUUCAAUCUGAUUGUAGCUCCAGGAAUGAAAGCCACCAGACAAGUUCCAUCAUCUCCUCCCUAUUAUCUCAUGACUAACUGUCUCCCAGUGUUGAGUUUCUCCAGCUAAGCUACUCAGGUAGUCUUUUAAUACUUGCCAUUUUCUUUUAAAACCUUUCAGCAGUUAGAAUCCAGAAAAAUGGACCUCUAGUUAACCUCUCAUCAUGCAAAGGCGCUGCUAUUUUUAAUGUGUCCAAAGCCAAGAGGGAAAAAAGGACCUGGUCUCAUGGGUUGCAAAUGCAUGGUAUUUUUAAAGAGGUUGGUUGGGAAUGGAAACCAAGUACACAUGCCCAUUUUCAGAAAAAAGAAGCCAAGUCCUGAGUACUGGUAUGUGUGCUAUGUAAUGAGCCACAACAUUCUUGCUAAAUGCUUUGCACCACUACCUGCUACCUGAGGGGCUAUUGUGAUAUUGUGACAGUGCUGGGUGUCUGCACUCUAGGAUUGUAUCAGCUCUUCACACAGUACAAAGUUGGAUGACCGAAUUCACUACCCCAGGAUGUAGCAAUGCUCACCAAUGUGAAUGGAUUUAAAAGGAGACUAGAUAAAUUUGGUUGUUGGGGAACAUGAGCUGUCCUGCUUAUGGGCUUCGCAUAGACCUCUGACUGCCAAUGAAAGCGAAUAUUGGAUAGCAUAGACCAGUGGUUCUCAACCUGUGGGUCCCCAGAUGUUUUGGCCUUCAACUCCAUGAGAUCCUAACAGCUGGCUGGGAAUUGUAGGCCAAAACACCUGAGGACCUACAGGUUGAGAACCACUGGCACAGACCUUUGGUAUCAUUCAUGUAGCUUCUUCUAAUAUCAGCUGUAGGCUACACAUUAAUUAGAAAUGGAUUUUGGAUAAAACAAAUUUCAACCUUUGCAGAUGUUUGUCUCUAUCAGUGAGCUUUGAAUGCAAACACUCAGUAUGACAUGUUAUUAUUAACUUGUCUUUGAUUUUAUUGCCAAUUACUUAUCUGUUGUCUUCAAAGCCCUAUAGAUGAAAAACACCACACAGGUAAAGAUGACUUAUGGAUCAUAGCCAUUAAGUCAAAGAGUGGAAUCAUGUGACCUCUUGAUGUUAAACUGCAAUUUUCAGGAAUCCUAAGUGAUAUAGCCAAUAAUGAGGAAACAUUAUUUUCGUCCCUCUGUUAAGAAGAGGUUGCUUUAAAUUAAAGGUCAUACUCUGUGGUGGCUAACUGUAUGUUGCAUGCCACUCCUUUGUGGUGGCUUAUCAUACAGAAUGGAAAUUAUUUUUCCCAUUAGUACAAACAUUAAUUCUUGGUAGUGCACAGAAAACUACUUAUCUGUUUAUUGAUAUCAUGGGAGCCAUUUAAAGCAGGCUAAUAGCUAUUAAAUAAACAUCACUGAGGUAGGCGACAUUAAUAGAUUAGCCUCAAAUCAUUAAAGGCAUUUUUCAAAAUUGAUAUGUUUGAUAGUUUGUUAAUUAUUACUAUUUAGAAAUGCAUUUAAAAUUACUAAAAAUGUUCUUGAAUUGAAAUAAUGGAAAAGUUAAAUGUUACUUUGAAAUAAUUAGUAGUCUGUUUCAAAAAUUUGUUGAAAUUACAAAUUAGGAUAACUAGUUAUUUUCAGUGAGUUACUUCCAAGCUCUAAGAUUGACCAGUUUCAAAAUAUAUCAAAGCAUCACUAACUAAGAAUAUUUGGUAGAAAAUAAGCUUUUUGUAUUCAAGAGUGCAUUUUCUGGUUAACUGCCAUAUUUACAAUACUUCGACAUUACUUAUUUUUAAAGAAGCAACUUAACAUGCCAGUCUUCCUUCUGUUGUUCUCUAAUGUAUCUUUGCCUUUUUCUUUUUGAAGACAAGUUGACCCUUCUGCAAAUAAUUGCAAUAGACAUACCAACUCAAAAGUGCAAAUCAGUGGAUGUGUUAUACAGAGAACACAUUUCUUUAAAUAUCUGUGUCACAGGUAUUUCAUCCAAAUCGCAGUCACUGCAGAAAUACCAAGGGGAGCCGAACGGAACAAGAUGCUUGGAGCGUUGUUGCAGAAAUCUCUGUGGCAGCAAAGGAAUCGAAAACUGUCAGCAU